GCUGGGAUAGCUCAGUCGGUAGAGCAUGAGACUCUUAAUUUCAUUGGGCAAAAGAUUCCUGCA
Molecule: transfer RNA, 63 nt
Filed under: Podarcis lilfordi (Lilford's wall lizard)
Lineage: Eukaryota; Metazoa; Chordata; Lepidosauria; Squamata; Lacertidae
Rfam family: tRNA
About the family: Transfer RNA (tRNA) molecules are approximately 80 nucleotides in length. Their secondary structure includes four short double-helical elements and three loops (D, anti-codon, and T loops).
Source: Rfam by way of RNAcentral